UGGGGAAUAUUGGACAAUGGGCGCAAGCCUGAUCCAGCCAUGCCGCGUGAGUGAUGAAGGCCCUAGGGUUGUAAAGCUCUUUCACCGGUGAAGAUAAUGACGGUAACCGGAGAAGAAGCCCCGGCUAACUUCGUGCCAGCAGCCGCGGUAAUACGAAGGCGGCUAGCGUUGUUCGGAUUUACUGGGCGUAAAGCGCACGUAGGCGGACUAUUAAGUCAGGGGUGAAAUCCCGGGGCUCAACCCCGGAACUGCCUUUGAUACUGGUAGUCUUGAGUUCGAGAGAGGUGAGUGGAAUUCCGAGUGUAGAGGUGAAAUUCGUAGAUAUUCGGAGGAACACCAGUGGCGAAGGCGGCUCACUGGCUCGAUACUGACGCUGAGGUGCGAAAGCGUGGGGAGCAAACAGG
RNAcentral lists this ribosomal RNA (404 nucleotides) under Actinomycetes bacterium. Its description in RNAcentral is "Actinobacteria bacterium partial 16S ribosomal RNA". It matches the Rfam family "Bacterial small subunit ribosomal RNA", at positions 355 to 776 of the family's 1533-position model. The record is from RNAcentral. Lineage: Bacteria; Bacillati; Actinomycetota; Actinomycetes.